GACGAACCGUGCGAGCGUUGUUCGGAAUCACUGGGCUUAAAGGGCGCGUAGGCGGACAGACAAGUCAGGGGUGAAAGCCCACGGCUCAACCGUGGAAGUGCCUUUGAUACUGCCUGUCUCGAGGGAGGUAGGGGCGUGCGGAACUUCCGGUGGAGCGGUGAAAUGCGUAGAUAUCGGAAGGAACACCGGUGGCGAAAGCGGCGCGCUGGACCUCUUCUGACGCUGAGGCGCGAAAGCCAGGGGAGCAAACGGG
RNAcentral lists this ribosomal RNA (253 nucleotides) under uncultured bacterium. Its description in RNAcentral is "partial 16S ribosomal RNA". It matches the Rfam family "Bacterial small subunit ribosomal RNA", at positions 524 to 776 of the family's 1533-position model. The record is from RNAcentral.